RNAcentral lists this ribosomal RNA (465 nucleotides) under Vreelandella stevensii. Its description in RNAcentral is "partial 16S ribosomal RNA". It matches the Rfam family "Bacterial small subunit ribosomal RNA", at positions 338 to 795 of the family's 1533-position model. The record is from RNAcentral. Lineage: Bacteria; Pseudomonadati; Pseudomonadota; Gammaproteobacteria; Oceanospirillales; Halomonadaceae.
CCUACGGGGCGCUGCAGUGGGGAAUAUUGGACAAUGGGCGAAAGCCUGAUCCAGCCAUGCCGCGUGUGUGAAGAAGGCCUUCGGGUUGUAGAGCACUUUCAGUGGGGAAGAAAGCCUUGGGGCUAAUACCCUCGAGGAAGGACAUCACCCACAGAAGAAGCACCGGCUAACUCCGUGCCAGCAGCCGCGGUAAUACGGAGGGUGCGAGCGUUAAUCGGAAUUACUGGGCGUAAAGCGCGCGUAGGCGGUCUGAUAAGCCGGUUGUGAAAGCCCCGGGCUCAACCUGGGAACGGCAUCCGGAACUGUCAGGCUAGAGUGCAGGAGAGGAAGGUAGAAUUCCCGGUGUAGCGGUGAAAUGCGUAGAGAUCGGGAGGAAUACCAGUGGCGAAGGCGGCCUUCUGGACUGACACUGACGCUGAGGUGCGAAAGCGUGGGUAGCAAACAGGAUUAGAUACCCUAGUAGUC